This 253-nucleotide ribosomal RNA is filed under the name uncultured bacterium. RNAcentral describes it as "partial 16S ribosomal RNA". It matches the Rfam family "Bacterial small subunit ribosomal RNA", at positions 524 to 776 of the family's 1533-position model. The record is from RNAcentral.
UACGGAGGGUGCGAGCGUUGUCCGGAAUCACUGGGCGUAAAGGGCGCGUAGGCGGCUUUGUAAGUCGGGGGUGAAAGCCUGUGGCUCAACCACAGAAUUGCCUUCGAUACUGCAUGGCUUGAGACCGGAAGAGGUAAGUGGAACUGCGAGUGUAGAGGUGAGAUUCGUAGAUAUUCGCAAGAACACCAGUGGCGAAGGCGGCUUACUGGUCCGGUUCUGACGCUGAGGCGCGAAAGCGUGGGGAGCAAACAGG